RNAcentral lists this ribosomal RNA (371 nucleotides) under uncultured organism. RNAcentral's name for it is "bacterial SSU rRNA". It matches the Rfam family "Bacterial small subunit ribosomal RNA", at positions 526 to 896 of the family's 1533-position model. The record is from RNAcentral.
CAGAGGGUGCAAGCGUUAAUCGGAAUUACUGGGCGUAAAGCGUGCGUAGUCGGCUUUUCAAGUCGGGUGUGAAAGCCCCGGGCUCAACCUGGGAAUUGCAUUCGAUACUGGAUGGCUAGAGUUCGGCAGAGGGAAGUGGAAUUUCCGGUGUAGCGGUGAAAUGCGUAGAUAUCGGAAGGAACAUCAGUGGCGAAAGCGACUUCCUGGACCAGAACUGACGAUCAGGCACGAAAGCGUGGGGAGCAAACAGGAUUAGAUACCCUGGUAGUCCACGCCAUAAACGAUGACAACUAGACGUUGGGGGGGUAAGCCUCUCAGUGUCGCAGCUAACGCGUUAAGUUGUCCGCCUGGGGAGUACGGCCGCAAGGUUG